CACACAAUACAAAAUACAAAAUCAUUAGAAUAGUAGCACGGUAAAUAGUAGCAAGUAUUUUCAGCAGUCGUUUGUAGUGACUACUAUGUAAGACUGACUUAUAUUGAAAAGAACGAGUGAGAAACGGCACUUCUAUUUGCACCAACAUAAAUAGGGAAAGAAAUUCACAUGAUCUGUAACUAUUUUAAGGAACACUUUUGUUGGCCCCGCCAUAAACAACACAGCACAACCAGGGAAAAUGUUUUGCAGCUGCAAUGAUUGUACUCAAUACCAUACAUAGUGGAGUCCCAGCUACCAAGUUUAGAUAGAAUUCCUUGCAUUGAUUUUAAUAGCUUUGUGGAGUGAUAUUCUGUUUGUGAGCUAACCGAUUGUGAAACAGGGAUUGUGACAUAAACCUGUAGAAUAGAGCGAAUGUCACUCCACAACUCCACAACUGCAUGACUUAUGUUCAUUAUCAUUCCUCCAGCAGCA
RNAcentral lists this long non-coding RNA (471 nucleotides) under Olea europaea subsp. europaea. Lineage: Eukaryota; Viridiplantae; Streptophyta; Magnoliopsida; Lamiales; Oleaceae. The record is from RNAcentral.